Haliotis rufescens (red abalone) is the source of this 1647-nucleotide long non-coding RNA. RefSeq lists it as uncharacterized. NCBI's taxonomy places the organism in Eukaryota, Metazoa, Mollusca, Gastropoda, Lepetellida, Haliotidae. The record is from RefSeq and is a predicted model, not a curated record. The transcript is spliced from 3 exons.
CUGGCUGAUAUGAACAUGUCAAUAACUAAUUUUGAAUUGCCUAUGUUUAGACAAAUUUGCUAACUAUAUGAAAACAUAUACAAUACUAAGAGUGUCAAGCGAUGAUGGAAUACAUUUAUUAAACAUUGACACUAAUCCAAUGUACUUUCUUGCAAAUUCAAACUGUGAUAUAAUCUGGUAUUAAGAAGCCAAGCAUUUAGGAAGGCUGCCUCACUAAAAAGAGAGAUUUGUGCAAAAGGAGGAGGACCACCACCUCAACCACUUAAUGAAGUUGAAGAGCGGGUAAAUAUGAUUACAUUGGCAUAUCAAAGAUUACUAUAACUUCUAUGUAAUCAGCCAGGCUAAAUGACACAUUCACAGCAUAUAUUGUAAUCACUUGUAUGAAUUGUUUUCACAUUUGAUACAUAUAUUCACAUCUAUCAUGAACAGGGUUACUACAUAAAACAUUAUUAAUGUUUCAUUGUUAUGUGUUACAAAUCUUUGAAAUUUACAAUCUUCAUAAAAAAUUAUUUACAGAUUGUAUCACUGAUUCCCUCCUGUCAAAUUGAUGGUUGUGAAGGUGGAUUGGAGAGUGAUGUCAAUGAAUUUGUUCCUGAAGACCUGACAAAUGCCUGUCUACCUGACGAGCAGUCAGUGUUCGUUAUACCACCAUCACCACCACAGCUGUGUCACAACAGAAACAGCAGUUGUUCAGACUGUACUAGCUGUGGAAGGACACAUUCCAACCACAAGAGACAAAUUGAUAGCUUUAGAGGAAAGGAAAGUGGAGAUCCUGCAGCAGUUGCUGUCAGUAGAAAUCCAGCGUCUCAGUAUUGAGGAAAGAAAUCUUGCUAUAAAUGAAAGAAAUUUGAAAAUAAAUGAAGAAAAAUUGUUGCUGAAACAAGCAGAAAAGAAUGUUCAGUGCCUGUCUCCUCUUAUUCCAUUUCAUCAUUAAGUAAUAUUUCAGCUUUGUUGUCCUAUUUAAAUAUAUAUGUUGUAAUAUUUGACUCUGCUUAGUCUAUUUCAGGAGAGGGGCAGUGGGGUAGCAUUGUGGUUAAAGAGUUUGCUCAUCGCGCCAAACACCCAGGGUUCUAAUCCCCACAUGGGUUCAAUGUGUGAAGCCCAUUGCUGGUGUCCCCCGCUGUGAUAUUGCUGGAACAUUGCGAAAAGCGGCAUAAAUACACACUCACUCACUCACUAUUUGGAAGAAACAUUUCAGUUCAUGUCAGAAUGUUUAAUUUUUUUUAACAUGUUCAGUAUUGUUCACUGUCUUGAGAAAAAUUGGCGGAUUACACCAUGCCUAGUUUGAAACCCAUCACAAAUAGGUCCAAGAUAUACUGUGUCAUCACUGGCAACUUCAUCAGCCUGGGAAGGUGGCAGUGGUAUGUUCAUGUCAAGGCACAUAUUGUGCAGCUGGGCUGCAGCAUACACUACUUGACAGUAGAAUCAGGACUUUUAGAUUUGUGUGAUGUAGGUGAUGCAAUCAUGGCAGAUAAGGGAUUUACAAUCUCCGACUUGACAACACCAAAAGGUAUACUCCUAAUAAUUCCACCAAAGAAACAUAAGAGGAAACAGCUGACUGCUGUAGAAAUUGAACAAACUAGGAGAAUAGCAAACUUGAGAAUCCACGUAGAAAGGCACAUGGAACGUGUCAAGAAUUUCAAAAUU